GAUGAACGCUGGCGGCGUGCCUAAUACAUGCAAGUCGAGCGAACGGACGAGAAGCUUGCUUCUCUGAUGUUAGCGGCGGACGGGUGAGUAACACGUGGAUAACCUACCUAUAAGACUGGGAUAACUUCGGGAAACCGGAGCUAAUACCGGAUAAUAUUUUGAACCGCAUGGUUCAAAAGUGAAAGACGGUCUUGCUGUCACUUAUAGAUGGAUCCGCGCUGCAUUAGCUAGUUGGUAAGGUAACGGCUUACCAAGGCAACGAUGCAUAGCCGACCUGAGAGGGUGAUCGGCCACACUGGAACUGAGACACGGUCCAGACUCCUACGGGAGGCAGCAGUGGGGAAUCUUCCGCAAUGGGCGAAAGCCUGACGGGGCAACGCCGCGUGAGUGAUGAAGGUCUUCGGAUCGUAAAACUCUGUUAUUAGGGAAGAACAUAUGUGUAAGUAACUGUGCACAUCUUGACGGUACCUAAUCAGAAAGCCACGGCUAACUACGUG
RNAcentral lists this ribosomal RNA (497 nucleotides) under uncultured bacterium. RNAcentral's name for it is "partial 16S ribosomal RNA". It matches the Rfam family "Bacterial small subunit ribosomal RNA", at positions 28 to 507 of the family's 1533-position model. The record is from RNAcentral.